This 780-nucleotide ribosomal RNA is filed under the name uncultured Neocallimastigales. RNAcentral's name for it is "partial large subunit ribosomal RNA". It matches the Rfam family "Eukaryotic large subunit ribosomal RNA", at positions 24 to 611 of the family's 3401-position model. Lineage: Eukaryota; Fungi; Neocallimastigomycota; Neocallimastigomycetes; Neocallimastigales. The record is from RNAcentral.
UAUCUCUGUAGAGUCUGCAUAUCAAUAAGCGGAGGAAAAGAAACUAACAAGGAUUCCCUUAGUAACGGCGAGUGAAGCGAGAAGAGCUCAAAUUUGAAAUCUUCAAGGUUCUACCUUGACGAAUUGUAGUUUAUAGAAGUGUUUUCUGUUAGUGGAGUGGCAAAAGUUCUUUGGAAUAGGACAUCAUAGAGGGUGAGAAUCCCGUAUUUGGUCAUUCCUCCUAGCGUUGUGAUACACUUUCAACGAGUCGGAUUGUUUGGGAAUGCAGUCCAAAAUGGGUGGUAAAUUUCAUCUAAAGCUAAAUAUUGGCGAGAGACCGAUAGCGAACAAGUACCGUGAGGGAAAGAUGAAAAGAACUUUGAAAAGAGAGUUAAACAGUACGUGAAAUUGUCAAAAGGGAAGCGUUUGACACCAGUGUUGUUUUCUCGAAAAUCAAUUAAAAAUGGCCGGGAUUUUGUGUUGUAUUGACUUUAUCAGCUUUCUGCACUUUUUUCUUGUCUUUUUUAAUGCACUUUUCGUUUAACAAGUCAACAUCAAUUUCUUUUGUUGUAAAAGAGUCAUUGGAAGGUGGCUUUCACUUCGGUGAAAGUGUUUAUAGCCUUUGACUUCUGCAAUCGGAGAGAUUGAGGUCUGCAGCGUAGAUCCUUCGGGGUUAGAUACAUUUGAUGCUAAGUUAUAGCCUUUUCAUAGACAACUUGUUGACUAUGAUUAAGUCAUGUAGCUUACUCGCUUAUGCGCUAUUUUACCUACGCUUAGGAUGUUGAACGCGCACAGAGUCUC